Molecule: ribosomal RNA, 578 nt
Filed under: uncultured bacterium
Lineage: Bacteria
Description: bacterial SSU rRNA
Rfam family: Bacterial small subunit ribosomal RNA
Source: RNAcentral
GAUGCAGCAGUCAGGAAUAUUGCGCAAUGGAGGAAACUCUGACGCAGCGACGCCGCGUGGGUGAUGAAGGCCUUCGGGUCGUAAAGCCCUGUCGGAGGGGAAGAAAAGUCUGUUGGCUAAUAUCCAGCGGACCUUUGACGGUACCCUCAAAGGAAGCACCGGCUAACUCCGUGCCAGCAGCCGCGGUAAGACGGAGGGUGCAAGCGUUGUUCGGAUUGACUGGGCGUAAAGGGCGUGUAGGCGGUUGGUUAAGUCGGGUGUGAAAGCCUGGGGCUCAGCCCCAGAAGUGCAUCCGAAACUAGCCAGCUAGAGCGCGAUAGAGGAGGGUGGAAUUCCUGGUGUAGCGGUGAAAUGCGUAGAUAUCAGGAGGAACACCGGCGGCGAAGGCGGCCCUCUGGAUCGUUGCUGACGCUGAGACGCGAAAGCGUGGGGAGCAAACAGGAUUAGAUACCCCGGUAGUCCUAGCCCUAAACGAUGGGUACUAGAUUGUGGGCUGAACAUGGGCUCACAGUCGAAGCAAAAGUGUUAAGUACCCCGCCUGGGGAGUAUGGUCGCAAGGCUGAAACUCAAAGGAAUGA